GAUAAUAAUCGGGUAUAAGGCAGACACCGAAGGCGCGGGAUAGCAUUUAAGAAAGUAUCGGUAGGGGAGCAUACUCACAGCGUCGAAUGGUGUACGUAAGUUAUCCUGGAGCGGUGAGUAAAGCAAAUGUAGGAAUAAGUAACGAUAAGGAGGGUUAGAUUCCCUCCCGCUGUAAGACCAAGGUUUCCCGGGCAAUGCCAAUCAGCCCGGGGUCAGUCGGGUCCUAAGUCUAAGCCGAACGGCGAUGGCGAUGGCAGAGACGGUUAAUAUUCCGUCACUGCCGCAUGGGGCGACGUGGAGACGGAGCAGUGAAACCACCGCGGGGCGACGGAAGUCCCCGUUGAAGAGUGUAGGUGUUGAGGAUGGCAGGCAAAUCCACCGUCCGAGCUGAACUUGAUAGUAUGGAGUCUUCUUCGGAAGAAUCCAAUAGUGUGGGUAAUCAUACUCCCGAGAAAAUCCGCUAAGCUUAACCCAUGCGGCACCCGUACCGCAAACGGACACACGUGGUCGGGUAGAACAUACUGAGGCGUUGAGAGAUUCAUGGUUAAGGAACUAGGCAAAUUGACCCUGUAACUUCGGGAUAAAGGGUCCUCGUGAAUAGCGAGGCGCAGAGAAUAGGUCCAGGCAACUGUUUAACAAAAACACAGGGCUGUGCAAACUCGAAAGAUGACGUAUACAGCCUGACACCUGCCCGGUGCCGGAAGGUUAAGAGGAGAUGUCACUAGCAAUAGGAAGCAUUGAAUUGAAGCCCCGGUAAACGGCGGCCGUAACCAUAACGGUCCUAAGGUAGCGAAAUUCCUUGUCGGGUAAGUUCCGACCUGCACGAAUGGUGUAAUGAUCCGGACGCUGUCUCAACCAUGAGCUCAGUGAAAUUGUAGUAUCGGUGAAGAUGCCGAUUACCCGCGAUGGGACGAAAAGACCCCGUGAACCUUUACUACAGCUUAGCAUUUACCUUGGUCAUCCGAUGUGUAGGAUAGGCCGGAGGCUUCGAAGCGGGAGCGCCAGCUUUCGUGGAGCCAUCCUUGAAAUACGGCCCUUUGGCUGUCUGAGGUCUAACGCGUGAAACGCGGACACUGCUUGGUGGGUAGUUUGACUGGGGUGGUCGCCUCCAAAAGCGUAACGGAGGCUUCCAAAGGUGCCCUCGGGUCGAUUGGUAACCGACCUCAAAGAGUGCAAUGGCAUAAGGGCGCUUGACUGGGAGGCAGACAUGCCGAGCAGGCAGGAAACUGGGGCAUAGUGAUCCGGCGGAUGUGUAUGGAAACUCCGUCGCUCAAAGGAUAAAAGGUACUCCGGGGAUAACAGGCUGAUCCCCCCCAAGAGCUCAUAUCGACGGGGUGGUUUGGCACCUCGAUGUCGGCUCGUCACAUCCUGGGGCUGGAGAAGGUCCCAAGGGUUGGGCUGUUCGCCCAUUAAAGUGGCACGCGAGCUGGGUUCAGAACGUCGUGAGACAGUUCGGUCUCUACCUAUCGUGGGCGUGGGAGUUUUGAGUGGUGCCGUCACUAGUACGAGAGGACCGUGAUGGACAGACCUCCGGUUUACCAGUUGUGCCGCCAGGCGCACCGCUGGGUAUCUGAGUCUGGAUUGGAUAAGCGCUGAAAGCAUCUAAGUGCGAAGCCAGCCGCAAGAUGAGAACUCCAUUGAGGGUCGUCAGAGACGAUGACGUUGAUAGGAUGCAGGUGUAAAGACAGCGAUGUCAAAGCCGAGCAUUACUAAUUGCUC
This 1719-nucleotide ribosomal RNA is filed under the name metagenome. RNAcentral describes it as "bacterial LSU rRNA". It matches the Rfam family "Bacterial large subunit ribosomal RNA", at positions 1166 to 2910 of the family's 2925-position model. The record is from RNAcentral.